GUCAGAGGAUGCAAGCGUUAUCCGGAAUUAUUGGGCGUAAAGCGUCUGUAGGUGGCUUUUUAAGUUCGCCGGCAAAUCCCAGGGCUCAACUCUGGACAGGUGGUGGAAACUACCAAGCUAGAGUACGGUAGGGGCAGAGGGAAUUUCCGGUGGAGCGAUGAAAUGCGUAGAGAUCGGAAGGAACACCCAAGGCGAAAGCACUCUGCUGGGCCGACACUGACACUGAGAGACGAAAGCUAGGGGAGCAAAUGGG
RNAcentral lists this ribosomal RNA (253 nucleotides) under uncultured bacterium. RNAcentral's name for it is "partial 16S ribosomal RNA". It matches the Rfam family "Bacterial small subunit ribosomal RNA", at positions 524 to 776 of the family's 1533-position model. The record is from RNAcentral.